GAAAUGCGAUACGUAAUGUGAAUUGCAGAAUUCAGUGAAUCAUCGAGUCUUUGAACGCACAUUGCGCCCCCUGGUAUUCCGGGGGGCAUGCCUGUCCGAGCGUCAUUGCUGCCCUCAAGCACGGCUUGUGUGUUGGGCCCCCGUCCCCCCCAAGGGGACGGGCCCGAAAGGCAGCGGCGGCACCGUGUCCGGUCCUCGAGCGUAUGGGAAGCAACUUUUUUUUGUCACCCGCUCCUGUAGGUCCGGCCGGCGGCCUGCCCAACCCCAACCUUUUACUUUUAACCAGGUUGACCUCGGAUCAGGUAGGGAUACCCGCUGAACUUAA
RNAcentral lists this unclassified non-coding RNA (325 nucleotides) under uncultured Penicillium. RNAcentral's name for it is "sequence contains ITS1". The stretch from base 1 to 105 matches the Rfam family "5.8S ribosomal RNA", at positions 50 to 154 of the family's 154-position model. The record is from RNAcentral. Lineage: Eukaryota; Fungi; Ascomycota; Eurotiomycetes; Eurotiales; Aspergillaceae.